AUUGAACGCUGGCGGCAUGCCUUACACAUGCAAGUCGAACGGUAACGGGCCUUCGGGUGCCGACGAGUGGCGAACGGGUGAGUAAUACAUCGGAACGUGCCCGAUCGUGGGGGAUAACGAGGCGAAAGCUUUGCUAAUACCGCAUACGAUCUACGGAUGAAAGCAGGGGACCGCAAGGCCUUGCGCGGACGGAGCGGCCGAUGGCAGAUUAGGUAGUUGGUGGGAUAAAAGCUUACCAAGCCGACGAUCUGUAGCUGGUCUGAGAGGAUGAUCAGCCACACUGGGACUGAGACACGGCCCAGACUCCUACGGGAGGCAGCAGUGGUGAAUUUUGGACAAUGGGCGCAAGCCUGAUCCAGCCAUGCCGCGUGCAGGAUGAAGGCCUUCGGGUUGUAAACUGCUUUUGUACGGAACGAAAAGCCUUCUUUUAAUACAGGAGGGUCAUGACGGUACCGUAAGAAUAAGCACCGGCUAACUACGUG
Molecule: ribosomal RNA, 482 nt
Filed under: uncultured bacterium
Lineage: Bacteria
Description: partial 16S ribosomal RNA
Rfam family: Bacterial small subunit ribosomal RNA
Source: RNAcentral